Thunnus maccoyii (southern bluefin tuna) is the source of this 1073-nucleotide long non-coding RNA. RefSeq lists it as uncharacterized. Lineage: Eukaryota; Metazoa; Chordata; Actinopteri; Scombriformes; Scombridae. The record is from RefSeq and is a predicted model, not a curated record. The transcript has 2 exons.
CACGGGCUGAGGAGGAAAUAUGUUUCCGCCACAUGCUGAUUUACAGCGAGCUGCUGGUGGAGGCUGAUAGAUAUUUGUUUCCAUGCGGCCGCCGGGAGUCAGAUGGUGACUGUUGCUACGUCUUCAUAUCCUCGACGCCGCCUGAUGAGCUCUCACGUCCUCAAGUGUGCCUCCCGUAUUCCUCCCCGGCCUGCUUCUCCCUCCACACCUGCCCUGCAUCAACCUCGUCAGCCCUGCCCUGCUCCCAUUGUCCCUCCCCAGCAUAUCAGCUCCUUGCCUGGUCUCCCAUCUCGUCACCUGUUCCCUAUUCCCCCCCCGUUAGUUCAGUUUGUAUUUAAGUCCUGUUGUUCAGUUCGCUCUUUGUUGGAUCAUCUGUUCUGUCUUGCUUUGCCUGCACUCCUGAGUCCUGUUCCCGAAUAAAUAUUAAUUCUUCACUUCCUGUUGCCUGCAGUCUCCUGCUUUUGGGUCCAUCUGCUCUGCUCCGCAGUGACAGAAUGAUCCAACCGCACAUGGAUCCAGCAGACAAACUUGGUGAGGUGAUUCACACCAUUCAGCACCUCAUCAACUAUUGCAGUAACACCUUCAGUGUAGAGUACAAGGAAGCAGCUCAGAAAAUGGCUCUCCAGGAUGUUGCUUCCAGGAUUUGCCUAGCAGAAGUACUAGCUUGAAUUGCAGGGGGACUUGACAACUACUCUGGUCUCCUUGUCUGCUAGUCUCCAGACUGCUCCUGAGCUGCAGCUGUCUCCCGUUGCUGUGCUUCUGCAGUCUCCUGUUUCACCAGAUCCACUGGCCCGGCUCACCUGCCUGUCUCCCAGCUGCCGGACUCUAGUCCUGCACUCCAGCCUCGUCAUGGUUUCUGGUAUUGUCAUAUUCUGGAUAAUAGUGGAAUAUUAGCGUGCAUGUAAACGUACUUAUUGAUCUACAAAGGGUGAAACAGGAAAACAAAGUACAUCUAAGUGAUGAAUCAGUGACUCAACAACAGGCUCAUGUCUGCCCAAAAUGUAACUUGAGGUUGAUAUUUUAAUCUUCUGUGUGUGUAAAAGGAGUGGGUGAAAAAUGAACUGAUCUACUAA